Molecule: ribosomal RNA, 465 nt
Filed under: Vreelandella stevensii
Lineage: Bacteria; Pseudomonadati; Pseudomonadota; Gammaproteobacteria; Oceanospirillales; Halomonadaceae
Description: partial 16S ribosomal RNA
Rfam family: Bacterial small subunit ribosomal RNA
Source: RNAcentral
CCUACGGGCGGCAGCAGUGGGGAAUAUUGGACAAUGGGGGGAACCCUGAUCCAGCCAUGCCGCGUGUGUGAAGAAGGCCCUCGGGUUGUAAAGCACUUUCAGUGAGGAAGAACGCCUGGUGGUUAAUACCCAUCAGGAAAGACAUCACUCACAGAAGAAGCACCGGCUAACUCCGUGCCAGCAGCCGCGGUAAUACGGAGGGUGCGAGCGUUAAUCGGAAUUACUGGGCGUAAAGCGCGCGUAGGUGGCUUGAUAAGCCGGUUGUGAAAGCCCCGGGCUCAACCUGGGAACGGCAUCCGGAACUGUCAAGCUAGAGUGCAGGAGAGGAAGGUAGAAUUCCCGGUGUAGCGGUGAAAUGCGUAGAGAUCGGGAGGAAUACCAGUGGCGAAGGCGGCCUUCUGGACUGACACUGACACUGAGGUGCGAAAGCGUGGGAAGCAAACAGGAUUAGAUACCCUAGUAGUC